UACGGGGGGGGUAAGCGUUGUUCGGAAUUACUGGGCGUAAAGGGCUCGUAGGCGGCCAACUAAGUCAUACGUGAAAUCCCUCAGCUUAACUGGGGAACUGCGUGUGAUACUGGAUGGCUUGGAUUUGGGAGAGGGAUGCGGAAUUCCAGGUGUAGCGGUGAAAUGCGUAGAUAUCUGGAGGAAUACCGGUGGCGAAGGCGGCAUCCUGGACCGACAUUGACGCUGAACGGCGAAAGCUAGGGGAGCAAACGGG
Molecule: ribosomal RNA, 253 nt
Filed under: uncultured bacterium
Lineage: Bacteria
Description: partial 16S ribosomal RNA
Rfam family: Bacterial small subunit ribosomal RNA
Source: RNAcentral